UACAGAGGGUGCGAGCGUUAAUCGGAAUUACUGGGCGUAAAGCGCACGUAGGUGGCGACGUAAGUCGGGUGUGAAAGCCCCGGGCUCAACCUGGGAAUGGCAUUUGAAACUGGCGAGCUAGAGUGUGAUAGAGGAUGGCGGAAUUCCCGGUGUAGCGGUGAAAUGCGUAGAGAUCGGGAGGAACAUCCGUGGCGAAGGCGGCCAUCUGGAUCAACACUGACGCUGAGGCACGAAAGCGUGGGGAGCAAACAGG
Molecule: ribosomal RNA, 253 nt
Filed under: uncultured bacterium
Lineage: Bacteria
Description: partial 16S ribosomal RNA
Rfam family: Bacterial small subunit ribosomal RNA
Source: RNAcentral